GAUGAACGCUAGCGGGAGGCCUAACACAUGCAAGCCGAGCGGGAUUCGGUAAUUAGCUUGCUAAUUAUUGAUGAGAGCGGCGUACGGGUGCGGAACACGUGUGCAACCUGCCUUUAUCUGGGAGAUAGCCUUUCGAAAGGAAGAUUAAUAUCCCAUAAUAUAUUUGCUGGCAUCAGUAGAUAUUGAAAGCUCCGGCGGAUAAAGAUGGGCACGCGCAAGAUUAGAUAGUUGGUGAGGUAACGGCUCACCAAGUCAGUGAUCUUUAGGGGGCCUGAGAGGGUGAUCCCCCACACUGGUACUGAGACACGGACCAGACUCCUACGGGAGGCAGCAGUGAGGAAUAUUGGACAAUGGGUGAGAGCCUGAUCCAGCCAUCCCGCGUGAAGGAAUAAGGUCCUAUGGAUUGUAGACUUCUUUUGUAUAGGGAUAAACCUAUCUACGUGUAGACAGCUGAAGGUACUAUACGAAUAAGCACCGGCUAACUCCGUGCCAGCAGCCGCGGUGAUACGGAGGGUGCAAGCGUUAUCCGGAUUUAUUGGGUUUAAAGGGUCCGUAGGCGGAUCUGUAAGUCAGUGGUGAAAUCUCGCAGCUUAACUGUGAAACUGCCAUUGAUACUGCAGGUCUUGAGUAAAUUUGAAGUGGCUGGAAUAAGUAGUGUAGCGGUGAAAUGCAUAGAUAUUACUUAGAACACCAAUUGCGAAGGCAGGUCACUAAGAUUUAACUGACGCUGAUGGACGAAAGCGUGGGGAGCGAACAGG
Molecule: ribosomal RNA, 758 nt
Filed under: uncultured Chryseobacterium sp.
Lineage: Bacteria; Pseudomonadati; Bacteroidota; Flavobacteriia; Flavobacteriales; Weeksellaceae
Description: bacterial SSU rRNA
Rfam family: Bacterial small subunit ribosomal RNA
Source: RNAcentral